Molecule: ribosomal RNA, 260 nt
Filed under: Streptomyces sp. nkm1
Lineage: Bacteria; Bacillati; Actinomycetota; Actinomycetes; Kitasatosporales; Streptomycetaceae
Description: partial 16S ribosomal RNA
Rfam family: Bacterial small subunit ribosomal RNA
Source: RNAcentral
GUGAUGAGCCCGCGGCCUAUCAGCUUGUUGGUGAGGUAGUGGCUCACCAAGGCGACGACGGGUAGCCGGCCUGAGAGGGCGACCGGCCACACUGGGACUGAGACACGGCCCAGACUCCUACGGGAGGCAGCAGUGGGGAAUAUUGCACAAUGGGCGAAAGCCUGAUGCAGCGACGCCGCGUGAGGGAUGACGGCCUUCGGGUUGUAAACCUCUUUCAGCAGGGAAGAAGCGAAAGUGACGGUACUGCAGAGAGGCAGUCU